RNAcentral lists this long non-coding RNA (293 nucleotides) under Capsella rubella. RNAcentral's name for it is "long non-coding RNA (CRUB_LNC001298)". The record is from RNAcentral. Lineage: Eukaryota; Viridiplantae; Streptophyta; Magnoliopsida; Brassicales; Brassicaceae.
GGACCAGUUGGCUGACAUUCUCACUAAAGCCUUGGGUCGUAAGGAAUUUGACGAUUUUCUUCUCAAGUUGGGCAUCCAUAACUUGUACGCUCCAACUUGAGGGGAGGUAUUAGGAUAUACUUAACAUAAGUAUAUCAUUAUCGUUAAAUAUGUUGUAUAUAUCUCUUAUAUAUAUUUGUCUAUAUCUUGUAAUCACUAUAAAUACUUUGGCCAUGAGGUCUACAUGAAUAAGAUCGAUAAACAUUAAACCCUUGUGACUAGUUUGUUAGGUUGGAAUUUGAAUCCUGAUACGG